AGCCUCUUUUAUGGGGUGACUGCGUACCUUUUGUAUAAUGGGUCAGCGACUUAUAUUCUGUAGCAAGGUUAACCGAAUAGGGGAGCCGAAGGGAAACCGAGUCUUAACCGGGCGUUAAGUUGCAGGGUAUAGACCCGAAACCCGGUGAUCUAGCCAUGGGCAGGUUGAAGGUUGGGUAACACUAACUGGAGGACCGAACCGACUAAUGUUGAAAAAUUAGCGGAUGACUUGUGGCUGGGGGUGAAAGGCCAAUCAAACCGGGAGAUAGCUGGUUCUCCCCGAAAGCUAUUUAGGUAGCGCCUCGUGAAUUCAUCUCCGGGGGUAGAGCACUGUUUCGGCAAGGGGGUCAUCCCGACUUACCAACCCGAUGCAAACUGCGAAUACCGGAGAAUGUUAUCACGGGAGACACACGGCGGGUGCUAACGUCCGUCGUGAAGAGGGAAACAACCCAGACCGCCAGCUAAGGUCCCAAAGUCAUGGUUAAGUGGGAAACGAUGUGGGAAGGCCCAGACAGCCAGGAUGUUGGCUUAGAAGCAGCCAUCAUUUAAAGAAAGCGUAAUAGCUCACUGGUCGAGUCGGCCUGCGCGGAAGAUGUAACGGGGCUAAACCAUGCACCGAAGCUGCGGCAGCGACACUGUGUGUUGUUGGGUAGGGGAGCGU
Molecule: ribosomal RNA, 660 nt
Filed under: Escherichia coli
Lineage: Bacteria; Pseudomonadati; Pseudomonadota; Gammaproteobacteria; Enterobacterales; Enterobacteriaceae
Also listed under: 1 other name
Description: partial 23S ribosomal RNA
Rfam family: Bacterial large subunit ribosomal RNA
Source: RNAcentral